AACGCGAAGAACCUUACCUGGGUUUGACAUCGCCGGAAAUCUCACAGAGAUGUGGGGUCCUUCGGGGCCGGUGACAGGUGGUGCAUGGCUGUCGUCAGCUCGUGUCGUGAGAUGUUGGGUUAAGUCCCGCAACGAGCGCAACCCUCGUCCCAUGUUGCCAGCAAUUCGGUUGGGGACUCAUGGGAGACUGCCGGGGUCAACUCGGAGGAAGGUGGGGACGACGUCAAGUCAUCAUGCCCCUUACGUCCAGGGCUGCAAACAUGCUACAAUGGCCAGUACAAAGGGCUGCUAUCCCGCGAGGGUGAGCGAAUCCCAAAAAGCUGGUCUCAGUUCGGAUCGGAGUCUGCAACUCGACUCCGUGAAGCUGGAGUUGCUAGUAAUCCCGGAUCAGCUACGCCGGGGUGAAUACGUUCCCGGGCCUUGUACACACCG
RNAcentral lists this ribosomal RNA (432 nucleotides) under uncultured bacterium. RNAcentral describes it as "bacterial SSU rRNA". It matches the Rfam family "Bacterial small subunit ribosomal RNA", at positions 958 to 1392 of the family's 1533-position model. The record is from RNAcentral.